GUCCAACUAAAAAUAAAGUGGGAUCGGAGCUGGCCGUCCCGCGGAGCAGCCCGAGAGGCUGCAAUCAGAGCAUUGUGAUUAGUGGUCAGAGCUGCUGUCAAAGGAGCGUGACCAGGUCAUCUUCCCCAGGACUACGGCAGCUCCAGUGAAGACAAAACGUAGGGCUUCUGUGACCUUUGCUAUUUCUAUUGUUAGGCUUUUAGUUUUAAUCCAAAAAUAUGCAGGAUUUACAGUUAUUGUUGUCAGAAACUUCCAGAAGAAUCAACAAAGUGAAGUGGAAAGAAGCACAUCAGGGAGGUCCGGCCUCGGGGUUUGGCCCCUGGUCUUCCAUCUGCUUGGAAUCUGCUUUGGACACGUAUCCGCCCGGCUUGUUGCAUGGCUUGACGAGAGGUGCUAGGUCUGUGCCUGGGAUCCAAAACUGCGAACCCUGGGCCGCUGAAGUGAAGCACACAAACUAAACCACUACACCACCAGGCUGGCCCCCAAAAUCACCUCUCUUGAUGCCUCAAUGAUGCAGGUGACGUACAAGAAGAAGCAGGCUGUCUCCACUAAGCAUCUGGGGCCCAGCUGCUGCCCUUUGCCACCACGGGGAGGCAGCAGACCAACACCCACAUGUGGAACACACUUGGCACCCUACAGUGACCUCGUGGGUGUAAUGGUCAGUGCUUCACUGCCUCUUCCAAAUCGCACGCAAAUUUCUCCUGUGGCUAACUCUAACCCAGAACCAGACGGUGAAGGGAAUUCUGGGAAAUCAGCUCCACCUUAGCUAAACAAAAAGCCGCUGUACCAGGUUUCAUCCUGUCAAUGUAUUUGUAGAUGCCUUUGAUUUUUCUUUAUAACACUAAAUACAGAAUAAUUCGAAUAUACAAGAGAAUAUAAAUACAGAGUCUUUCCAUGGUUUCCUUUAUGAAAUUACUAACUUUCUGUCAUCUUGAGUACCCAGUCAUCUUGGAUCAUUUCUUGCCAUGUGCUUAUUGGGAUGAAUUAAAACUACUGGCCUAUUUGUAUUUCACUUAUAUAUAUGAAAUGUUGAGUCUAUUCCUUAUACUUGCAGCAAAAACAGAUCCUCUGUGGUAUGUAUUUCAUGUAAAUGAGGAUUAGACAAACUUCAGGAUCCAUUUGGCAUUAGUAUCUGUGUAACAAUAGGCUUAUGUAUUUAUGGAGCUAGGUAGGUAUGUCUACAUGCUUGUUCUAACUCUCUCUCUAUAUAUAUGACCAGAUAGUGCUAUAGAGACUUAAGAACAGUCUUGAUGACUAUACAGACAGAUAUCUAAAAACCGAGAGCUGAGAAAUUGGUGUUGUAACUUCUGAGUAAUUAUUUCAACUACUGGACACCUGUCACUAAUCCAAAAGCCAAAGGAAUUGGCAGUUUUGUAUAAGACGUUCCUUCACUUUGGCUUCUUAAGAUGACAGAGGUAGUUGUAGAUAGGAAAUGUAGAAACAGCAAAAAAAAAAAAAAAAAAAAAAGAACUCUCACCACGAAUGAGUGAUAAGAAUUUGUUGAGCUCUCAGACUCUCCGCUUCUGCUUCCCUCAGCACCUCUUAGAUCCUUUAGACUUGUAGCUUGUUUUCCUUUUCUGAGCCAGCGGAGAUUGUAAAUCAACCUUCCAGUCUUCAUCGCCAACCCAGGGGAAAUAGGUGAGACAAGUGGUUUCCAAAUAUUUGAUAAAACAGAGAGGGUGUUUGGGGUAGAAAGAAUUCUGGUUUUCGGUUCAAUCCAUUUACCUACUUAUGUCCUCUUUAGCAUUAUUUAACUUGUUAGAGUUUAUGUUUCCUCUUCUGCAAAAUGGCUGUGAUCUUGUCUGCUUCCUAAGAAGCUCCAGGGUUGACGGAGGGGACUCGGAUGUCCACCUCCCACCUUCCUUCGCCAAUACUUCUUCACUGCCGAGACCCCAUUCGUCUCACGUGACUGAUACCUACUAAGCGGGCUACAACGAGUAGGCUCAUAUGAUUUUUAAAUGCUGGAGAAUUAGGUUUCAGUAGGCAAGUGGAACUUUUAAAAGAAUUUAUUCCUUAGUCUGACAACCACUGUUUAUUUUGCUUAACUGAAGCAACUGAUUUUUCCUUUAUCAGGAUAAAAUCAUGAAAGAUUUUGAAAAAGGCAAGAAAGAUUACUGGUGUCCUGUCUAGCAUACCCUUCUGGGUUAUCUUUGUCUCUUAUUGUCUUUGAGCUAUUUUACAACUCUGUCAGCUGUAGAUAACGG
Molecule: long non-coding RNA, 2204 nt
Filed under: Equus caballus (horse)
Lineage: Eukaryota; Metazoa; Chordata; Mammalia; Perissodactyla; Equidae
Description: lncRNA (ENSECAG00000042491.2)
Source: RNAcentral